Molecule: ribosomal RNA, 495 nt
Filed under: uncultured bacterium
Lineage: Bacteria
Description: partial 16S ribosomal RNA
Rfam family: Bacterial small subunit ribosomal RNA
Source: RNAcentral
GACGAACGCUGGCGGCGUGCCUAAUACAUGCAAGUAGAACGCUGAAGGAGGAGCUUGCUUCUCUGGAUGAGUUGCGAACGGGUGAGUAACGCGUAGGUAACCUGCCUGGUAGCGGGGGAUAACUAUUGGAAACGAUAGCUAAUACCGCAUAAGAGUAGAUGUUGCAUGACAUUUGCUUAAAAGGUGCAAUUGCAUCACUACCAGAUGGACCUGCGUUGUAUUAGCUAGUUGGUGGGGUAACGGCUCACCAAGGCGACGAUACAUAGCCGACCUAAGAGGGUGAUCGGCCACACUGGGACUGAGACACGGCCCAGACUCCUACGGGAGGCAGCAGUAGGGAAUCUUCGGCAAUGGACGGAAGUCUGACCGAGCAACGCCGCGUGAGUGAAGAAGGUUGUCGGAUCGUAAAGCUCUGUUGUAAGAGAAGAACGAGUGUGAGAGUGGAAAGUUCACACUGUGACGGUAUCUUACCAGAAAGGGACGGCUAACUACGUG